UGUUUUAAUUUUUUUAAUUUUUUUUAUAAUAUGUAGGUCAUGCAAGGGGGCAAAUCCAUACUUAAGAAGCUAAGACCAUUGGAUUAUGGGCCAACAAAAUACGUUACAUUUUAUAAUGACUGUAACAUAAAUAGUUUUAAAUUUUAUACCCAAUGAUAUGGAUAUCAUAAGACCACAAUGAACAGUGGUGUGUGUAUAAAGGGCAGCU
This 208-nucleotide long non-coding RNA is filed under the name Elaeis guineensis (African oil palm). Its description in RNAcentral is "long non-coding RNA (EGUI_LNC014050)". The record is from RNAcentral. Lineage: Eukaryota; Viridiplantae; Streptophyta; Magnoliopsida; Arecales; Arecaceae.